Molecule: non-coding RNA, 45 nt
Organism: Takifugu rubripes (torafugu)
Lineage: Eukaryota; Metazoa; Chordata; Actinopteri; Tetraodontiformes; Tetraodontidae
Source: Rfam
CAAACGGCUCUUUUCAGAGCCACCCACACUGAUAAAGAGCGGUUU